GUUUUAGUGUAAAUAUAUCCCAUGCAACAUUUGGGAUAUACUUAUACUAAAA
Molecule: microRNA precursor, 52 nt
Organism: Nomascus leucogenys (northern white-cheeked gibbon)
Lineage: Eukaryota; Metazoa; Chordata; Mammalia; Primates; Hylobatidae
Rfam family: mir-1302 microRNA precursor family
Source: Rfam